RNAcentral lists this ribosomal RNA (2892 nucleotides) under Acinetobacter baumannii. RNAcentral's name for it is "23S ribosomal RNA". It matches the Rfam family "Bacterial large subunit ribosomal RNA". The record is from RNAcentral. Lineage: Bacteria; Pseudomonadati; Pseudomonadota; Gammaproteobacteria; Moraxellales; Moraxellaceae.
AGUCAAGUAAUUAAGUGCAUGUGGUGGAUGCCUUGGCAGUCAGAGGCGAUGAAAGACGUGAUAGCCUGCGAAAAGCUCCGGGGAGGCGGCAAAUAUCCUUUGAUCCGGAGAUGUCUGAAUGGGGGAACCCACCUACUUUAAGGUAGGUAUUGCAACAUGAAUACAUAGUGUUGCAAGGCGAACGAGGGGAAGUGAAACAUCUCAGUACCCUUAGGAAAAGAAAUCAAUUGAGAUUCCCUCAGUAGCGGCGAGCGAACGGGGAUCAGCCCAUUAAGUUAUGUGUGUUUUAGUGGAACGCUCUGGGAAGUGCGAACGUAGAGGGUGAUAUUCCCGUACACGAAAGGGCACACAUAAUGAUGACGAGUAGGGCGAGGCACGUGAAACCUUGUCUGAAUAUGGGGGGACCAUCCUCCAAGGCUAAAUACUCCUGACUGACCGAUAGUGAACCAGUACCGUGAGGGAAAGGCGAAAAGAACCCCUGUGAGGGGAGUGAAAUAGAUCCUGAAACCGCAUGCAUACAAGCAGUGGGAGCACCUUCGUGGUGUGACUGCGUACCUUUUGUAUAAUGGGUCAGCGACUUAUAUUCAGUAGCGAGGUUAACCGUAUAGGGGAGCCGUAGAGAAAUCGAGUCUUAAUAGGGCGUUUAGUUGCUGGGUAUAGACCCGAAACCAGGCGAUCUAUCCAUGAGCAGGUUGAAGGUUGGGUAACACUAACUGGAGGACCGAACCCACUGUCGUUGAAAAGCCAGGGGAUGACUUGUGGAUAGGGGUGAAAGGCUAAUCAAGCCUGGUGAUAGCUGGUUCUCCCCGAAAGCUAUUUAGGUAGCGCCUCGGACGAAUACCAUAGGGGGUAGAGCACUGUUUCGGCUAGGGGGUCAUCCCGACUUACCAAACCGAUGCAAACUCCGAAUACCUAUGAGUACUAUCCGGGAGACAGACUGCGGGUGCUAACGUCCGUAGUCAAGAGGAAAACAAUCCAGACCGCCAGCUAAGGCCCCAAAAUCAUAGUUAAGUGGGAAACGAUGUGGGAAGGCAUAGACAGCUAGGAGGUUGGCUUAGAAGCAGCCACCCUUUAAAGAAAGCGUAAUAGCUCACUAGUCGAGUCGGCCUGCGCGGAAGAUGUAACGGGGCUAAAACUAUGUGCCGAAGCUGCGGAUGUAUACUUUGUAUACGUGGUAGGGGAGCGUUCUGUAAGCCGAUGAAGGUGUGUUGAGAAGCAUGCUGGAGGUAUCAGAAGUGCGAAUGCUGACGUGAGUAACGACAAAACGGGUGAAAAACCCGUUCGCCGAAAGACCAAGGGUUCCAGUCCAACGUUAAUCGGGGCUGGGUGAGUCGACCCCUAAGGCGAGGCCGAAAGGCGUAGUCGAUGGGAAAAUGGUUAAUAUUCCAUUACUUCUGUGUAAUGCGAUGAGAGGACGGAGAAGGCUAAAUCAGCCUGGCGUUGGUUGUCCAGGUGAAAGGAUGUAGGCAUGUAUCUUAGGCAAAUCCGGGGUACUCUAUGCUGAGAUCUGAUAGCAAGCUGUACUUGUACAGCGAAGUGGUUGAUGCCAUGCUUCCAGGAAAAGUCUCUAAGCUUCAGUUACACAGGAAUCGUACCCGAAACCGACACAGGUGGUCAGGUCGAGUAGACCAAGGCGCUUGAGAGAACUCUGCUGAAGGAACUAGGCAAAAUGGUACCGUAACUUCGGGAGAAGGUACGCUGUUGUUGGUGAUGGAACUCGCUUCCUGAGCUGACGACAGCCGCAGAAACCAGGCCGCUGCAACUGUUUAUUAAAAACAUAGCACUCUGCAAACACGAAAGUGGACGUAUAGGGUGUGAUGCCUGCCCGGUGCUGGAAGGUUAAUUGAUGGGGUUAGCGUAAGCGAAGCUCUUGAUCGAAGCCCCAGUAAACGGCGGCCGUAACUAUAACGGUCCUAAGGUAGCGAAAUUCCUUGUCGGGUAAGUUCCGACCUGCACGAAUGGCAUAAUGAUGGCGGCGCUGUCUCCAGCAGAGGCUCAGUGAAAUCGAAAUCGCUGUGAAGAUGCAGUGUACCCGCGGCUAGACGGAAAGACCCCGUGAACCUUUACUGCAGCUUGACACUGAACUUUGACCUUACUUGUGUAGGAUAGGUGGGAGGCUUUGAAGCUGGAACGCUAGUUCCAGUGGAGCCGUCCUUGAAAUACCACCCUGGUAAUGUUGAGGUUCUAACUCUGUCCCGUGAUCCGGGACGAGGACCGUGUCUGGUGGGUAGUUUGACUGGGGCGGUCUCCUCCUAAAGAGUAACGGAGGAGUACGAAGGUGCGCUCAGCGUGGUCGGAAAUCACGCGUAGAGUAUAAAGGCAAAAGCGCGCUUAACUGCGAGACCCACAAGUCGAGCAGGUACGAAAGUAGGUCUUAGUGAUCCGGUGGUUCUGUAUGGAAGGGCCAUCGCUCAACGGAUAAAAGGUACUCUGGGGAUAACAGGCUGAUACCGCCCAAGAGUUCAUAUCGACGGCGGUGUUUGGCACCUCGAUGUCGGCUCAUCUCAUCCUGGGGCUGAAGCAGGUCCCAAGGGUAUGGCUGUUCGCCAUUUAAAGAGGUACGCGAGCUGGGUUUAGAACGUCGUGAGACAGUUCGGUCCCUAUCUACCGUGGGCGCUGGAAAUUUGAGAGGAUCUGCUCCUAGUACGAGAGGACCAGAGUGGACGAACCUCUGGUGUACCGGUUGUGACGCCAGUCGCAUCGCCGGGUAGCUAUGUUCGGAAGGGAUAACCGCUGAAAGCAUCUAAGCGGGAAGCCUACCUCAAAUAAGAUUUCCCUAGGACUUUAUGUCCUCUAAAGAGCCGUUCGAGACUAGGACGUUGAUAGGUUGGAUGUGGAAGCAUAGUGAUAUGUGAAGCUGACCAAUACUAAUUGCUCGUGAGGCUUGACUAU